Long non-coding RNA from Mesocricetus auratus (golden hamster), 531 nucleotides. RefSeq lists it as uncharacterized. The record is from RefSeq and is a predicted model, not a curated record. Lineage: Eukaryota; Metazoa; Chordata; Mammalia; Rodentia; Cricetidae. The transcript has 3 exons.
AGAUGGAGUCUGCCGGGCAAGCCAGAGACAUGGGUCCCACUUCUGGCUGCCUGUGGAGAAAGGAACACAGCACAAUGACUGCUUUAUCUGUUCAUGGAGAAUUGUGUGCAAGUAGGAAGACAAACACCUAGCCCGCUGUGGAUGCAGCCACACAAGUUUUCUUCCAACAAAAACCAGGAGACUUCAAAGAAGUUUAAUUCACCCUUCAUUCUACAAAGGCUCACUCUGUCCUUGCUAAUACUUUAUGGCCAUGAUCUGCAUGUGUCUCAACCAAACACUACAGUUAGAUUCAUUCAACAUCACUGAAACCCCAACCUCCUUAAUCUACUUAGCUCAUCAACACAUAAUAUUUAUGCUUCAAACACAUUAGAAAGUGGGCAAGUAUUCCCCAAAAUAUACACUAAGUGAAACAUAAAUGAACAAAGAACUUUACAAAUCUUUACCCCAUGUGGGAGUCUAGCCAAAUCCAUGUUUCUGGAAAAUGUUUCCUGACAUGUGGGUUGCUAACCAAAGAAAAGUCUUGAAAACCAA